This 681-nucleotide ribosomal RNA is filed under the name uncultured Lachnospiraceae bacterium. RNAcentral describes it as "bacterial SSU rRNA". It matches the Rfam family "Bacterial small subunit ribosomal RNA", at positions 63 to 759 of the family's 1533-position model. Lineage: Bacteria; Bacillati; Bacillota; Clostridia; Lachnospirales; Lachnospiraceae. The record is from RNAcentral.
CGAACGGAGAACAUUGAGCUCGCUUAAUGUUCUUAGUGGCGGACGGGUGAGUAACACGUGAGUAACCUGCCUCUGAGAGUGGGAUAGCUUCUGGAAACGGAUGGUAAUACCGCAUAACAUCAUGGAUUCGCAUGCUUCUGUGAUCAAAGAUUUAUCGCUUAGAGAUGGACUCGCGUCUGAUUAGCUAGUUGGUAAGGUAACGGCUUACCAAGGCGACGAUCAGUAGCCGGACUGAGAGGUUGAUCGGCCACAUUGGGACUGAGACACGGCCCAGACUCCUACGGGAGGCAGCAGUGGGGAAUAUUGCACAAUGGGGGAAACCCUGAUGCAGCGAUGCCGCGUGGAGGAAGAAGGUUUUCGGAUUGUAAACUCCUGUUGAAGAGGACGAUAAUGACGGUACUCUUUUAGAAAGCUCCGGCUAACUACGUGCCAGCAGCCGCGGUAAUACGUAGGGAGCGAGCGUUGUCCGGAAUUACUGGGUGUAAAGGGAGCGUAGGCGGGAUGGCAAGUCAGAUGUGAAAACUAUGGGCUCAACCCAUAGACUGCAUUUGAAACUGUUGUUCUUGAGUGAGGUAGAGGUAAGCGGAAUUCCUGGUGUAGCGGUGAAAUGCGUAGAGAUCAGGAGGAACAUCGGUGGCGAAGGCGGCUUACUGGGCCUUUACUGACGCUGAGGCUCGAAAG